CAGCAGCCGCGGUAAUACGUAGGUGGCAAGCGUUGUCCGGAUUUAUUGGGCGUAAAGCGAGCGCAGGCGGUUUCUUAAGUCUGAUGUGAAAGCCCCCGGCUCAACCGGGGAGGGUCAUUAGAAACUGGGAAACUUGAGUGCAGAAGAGGAGAGUGGAAUUCCAUGUGUAGCGGUGAAAUGCGUAGAUAUAUGGAGGAACACCAGUGGCGAAGGCGGCUCUCUGGUCUGUAACUGACGCUGAGGCUCGAAAGCGUGGGGAGCAAACAGGAUUAGAUACCCCCGUAGUCCCUGUCUCUUAUAC
RNAcentral lists this ribosomal RNA (301 nucleotides) under uncultured bacterium. RNAcentral's name for it is "partial 16S ribosomal RNA". It matches the Rfam family "Bacterial small subunit ribosomal RNA", at positions 509 to 807 of the family's 1533-position model. The record is from RNAcentral.